Non-coding RNA from Podarcis lilfordi (Lilford's wall lizard), 204 nucleotides. NCBI's taxonomy places the organism in Eukaryota, Metazoa, Chordata, Lepidosauria, Squamata, Lacertidae. The record is from the annotation of a GenBank genome assembly.
UUCCAAAUGUUUAGUCGGAAUCUCCUUUCUUGUAACUUGAAGCCAUUGGUUCAAGUCCUACCCUCCAGAUCAGCAUAAAACGAGCAUGUCCCCUCUUCCCUUAAGAUAUUUGAAGAUAGCUAUCAUAUCUCCUCUCAGUCUCCUCUUUUCCAGGCUUAACAUACCCGGCUCCUUCAAGUGGUCCUUGUAAGGCUUAGUUUACAG